Nothoprocta perdicaria is the source of this 140-nucleotide long non-coding RNA. RefSeq lists it as uncharacterized. The transcript has 3 exons. The record is from RefSeq and is a predicted model, not a curated record. NCBI's taxonomy places the organism in Eukaryota, Metazoa, Chordata, Aves, Tinamiformes, Tinamidae.
CAAAGCCUUGCUUUGUGUCCUGUGUUGUGAUGGUGCACCAGCAGCAGCCGUGAAACAGAAUGCAGAACUUACUACUGUUACCUCGGAGUAGCUGCUGCGAUGAGGAGGACAAGAACCUGAUGAAGAUGGCAUAGAGGAGA